This 270-nucleotide long non-coding RNA is filed under the name Mytilus galloprovincialis (Mediterranean mussel). The record is from RNAcentral. Lineage: Eukaryota; Metazoa; Mollusca; Bivalvia; Mytilida; Mytilidae.
GCGCUCCUAGUUUUUGAACACUACAUUAUCCAUGAUGCGUAUUUUGAUUCUUAAAUGAGGAGAUGGGUGGAUCUUUACUUUAACAGUCAGCUUGUGUUGUUGAUCAGGGUAAAACACUAUUGUGUCGUAUUUAACCUAAUGUAAAAAACAUACGUCUUAGUGGGUUUUAGUUUUUCAUAUUCUUUUUGAGAAAAGGGGGGGGGGGUUUGUGAACAAAAAUAAAUUUAUUUAAAAAAGUAUUAAAAUGCAAUUCGUUGUUCAUACUUUUCG